AACUUAAUUAGAAUUUAUAACGGAUUAAUCACCAAAAAAAAAGAAUUUUUUUCUCCUUAUUUUUUAACUAAAAAAUAAAUUUUAUGUGCUUGUUUUUAUUUACCUAUAUACUUACUUACAUCUACAUACAUCUACAUAAAUCUAUGAAUUUAAAUUAAUUAAUUAAGAAAAUAAAAUAAAACAAAAAGGAAUCAAAGAAAUUUGAGAAAAAAAAAACGACGACAAUAUACUGUAAAGAAUACUGUAAAACCGAAAGGAAGUGUUAAUCCGCCAGAUAAAUCAAUUAAGGCUUUAAAUUUAAAAUUAAAUUAUUAAAAGAAAAUUUAAGAUAUUAAAAAAAUAAUUAAAAUAUCAUUAUACAACGAUUUUGAAAGAAAAAAUUCGCCGAAAAGAAAAUACCAAAACAAGAGAAAAAUAUAAAUUUAAAUUAUUUUUAAAGAAAUUAAAUAAUUUUUUUUUAAACUAAAAUCACAAAUCCUAUUAUCAUAAUAUUAAUAUUUAUAAUUAAUUUAUUAAAGAUUGAACAAAAAAGAAAAUUCAUAUAUAGAUUAUCAUUAAUUUUAUAAAAUCAUUAACCAAAAAUCAAAUUUAAUUUUAAAAUUCUAAUCAAGCAAAUAAUCACUAACUCUCUAAAUAGAAAACUCUCAUAUAUAAUAAUUAUAAUUUUAUAGAAAAAAUACAUAAAAUAAAAUUAAUAAAAAAAAACAUAAUUAUAAUUUAUAAAAUUUCUUUUAUCUCAAAUUGUGAUAUUUUAAAACCAAUAAAAGAUAUUUUACAAGUGAAAUUAUUAAAAAAGAAAAAAAUUUAA
Molecule: long non-coding RNA, 808 nt
Organism: Condylostylus longicornis
Lineage: Eukaryota; Metazoa; Arthropoda; Insecta; Diptera; Dolichopodidae
Exons: 3
Source: RefSeq, a predicted model, not a curated record